GAGUUUGAUACCUGGCUCAGGAUGAACGCUAGCUACAGGCUUAACACGUGCAAGUCGAGGGAACGACAUCGAAAGCUUGCUUUUGAUGGGCGUCGACCGGCGCACGGGUGAGUAACGCGUAUCCAACCUGCCCACCACUUGGGGAUAACCUUGCGAAAGUAAGACUAAUACCCAAUGAUAUCUCUAGAAGACAUCUGAAAGAGAUUAAAGAUUUAUCGGUGAUGGAUGGGGAUGCGUCUGAUUAGCUUGUUGGCGGGGUAACGGCCCACCAAGGCGACGAUCAGUAGGGGUUCUGAGAGGAAGGUCCCCCACAUUGGAACUGAGACACGGUCCAAACUCCUACGGGAGGCAGCA
Molecule: ribosomal RNA, 354 nt
Filed under: uncultured bacterium
Lineage: Bacteria
Description: bacterial SSU rRNA
Rfam family: Bacterial small subunit ribosomal RNA
Source: RNAcentral